Molecule: microRNA, 22 nt
Filed under: Macaca fascicularis (crab-eating macaque)
Lineage: Eukaryota; Metazoa; Chordata; Mammalia; Primates; Cercopithecidae
Description: novel_miR17-3p
Source: RNAcentral
AAUGGCGCCCUCUAGAAGUAAG